Molecule: ribosomal RNA, 625 nt
Filed under: Gymnopodium floribundum
Lineage: Eukaryota; Viridiplantae; Streptophyta; Magnoliopsida; Caryophyllales; Polygonaceae
Description: eukaryotic LSU rRNA
Rfam family: 5.8S ribosomal RNA (bases 247-402)
Source: RNAcentral
GAAANNNGCAAGGCAGAACGACCUGUGAACUCGUUUAUCNUCCUCGAGGGGCAGAGCUNGUNUCAGCCCCUUGAAGCUGGCUCACGCCUUCCCCCUUUUCCCUUGAAAAGGGNGAGGGGUGGGCGCGUCCCGGCAAACACCCUAACACCGGCGCGGGUUGCGCCAAGGACCAUGAAUUAUAUCGCGUCACACGACUCUCGGGAGACCGGGGGCCGUGGUGAUGGCGUGUCGAUACAAAAACAAAACGACUCUCGGCAACGGAUAUCUCGGCUCUCGCAUCGAUGAAGAACGUAGCGAAAUGCGAUACUUGGUGUGAAUUGCAGAAUCCCGUGAACCAUCGAGUCUUUGAACGCAAGUUGCGCCCGAAGCCAUUCGGCCGAGGGCACGUCUGCCUGGGCGUCACGCAUCGCGUCGCCCCUNCCCCCUUUAAGAAAGGGUGAGGGGCGGAUUGUGGCCCCCCGUGCGCCCGUGUGCGCGGCCGGCCUAAACACGGAGCCCGUGGCCGNGAAUGCCGCGACGUUUGGUGGUUGAACUACGGCCCCUGUGGUCGNGAAGCAUCGCGUCGCGUGCCCAAGCGGACCUCGUGAGCUCGAAGGACCCUNUNCGACCCCAGGUCAGGCGGGAC